RNAcentral lists this unclassified non-coding RNA (678 nucleotides) under uncultured Prochlorococcus sp. RNAcentral describes it as "partial may contain 16S ribosomal RNA, 16S-23S ribosomal RNA intergenic spacer, and 23S ribosomal RNA". The stretch from base 302 to 374 matches the Rfam family "tRNA". Lineage: Bacteria; Bacillati; Cyanobacteriota; Cyanophyceae; Synechococcales; Prochlorococcaceae. The record is from RNAcentral.
GUGGAGGAGGACGCCGAAGGUGGGGCUAAUGACUGGGGUGAAGUCGUAACAAGGUAGCCGUACCGGAAGGUGCGGCUGGAUCACCUCCUAACAGGGAGACAACAAAAUGUUAAAUAUUAAUUUUGUCACCUUAGGUCGAUCGGUAUCUCACAUUCUUAAUUUAUUAAGAAUUUUAUUUCCUAAGUUUUUUCUAGGUCACACCCAUUAUUUUUCCUGGGCCAUUAGCUCAGGUGGUUAGAGCGCACCCCUGAUAAGGGUGAGGUCCCUGGUUCAAGUCCAGGAUGGCCCAUAUCUCUAUGUUGGGGGUAUAGCUCAGUUGGUAGAGCGCCUGCUUUGCAAGCAGGAUGUCAGCGGUUCGAGUCCGCUUACCUCCACUGAUUACCACCUCUUCCAUAAUUUAGAGAAAGGAAAUUUUUUGAGUCGUGAUCAAAUUCUGAACGAAUCUAGCUUCCUAAUAAACUUAUUAAGAUGCUGGACUCAUUGAAUUAAUUUUCAUUGUUUUCAGAGAACCUUGACAACUGCAUAGAUUUUUUUUAAAGACAAUAAGCAUCUUUAAUGAUGCAGAUUUAUUAUUUGUGCAAAUGCAUUAAAUAACAAUUCUAUUAAGCUGAUGCUUCAAAUUUUUGAAGUUAUUGGUCAAGCUACAAAGGGCUCACGGAGGAUACCUAGGCACACAGA